Malaclemys terrapin pileata is the source of this 480-nucleotide long non-coding RNA. RefSeq lists it as uncharacterized. NCBI's taxonomy places the organism in Eukaryota, Metazoa, Chordata, Testudines, Emydidae. The transcript has 2 exons. The record is from RefSeq and is a predicted model, not a curated record.
CUUCCGUAAGGGCACGGCUCCAGCUGCCGUCACAUGAGCGCCUUUGCAAUCCCCAAAUAGCUACUUCUAGUUAUGAUUAUUGCUUAGCACAAAUGCUAGUUGAGAAGAUCAAACAACUCAGAGUGGGGCCUGUCUCCAGGGAUGCAGAGAAGAGGACAGACUAGACACCACCUUUAACCCUGAGUAGCAAAAUCUUGGAAACAGCUGUUGGCACAGACCUGCGUAAGAAACACGUGUUUUCCCUGGAGAAUAAUAAUUUGUGGGAGGUGGUGUGUGUUUUCCAAGGACCGACCUCCCCUGUCAGCUAGUUUGCCAAGGAGAGCCAGUCAUCAGCAGCAUUCUCUUUGGAAAGACAGUCCAAUCAGUAUAAAGGUGAUGAUUGUUUCAGGCUCCUUUCCAUCCAAGGGCAUGGCUCUUGGGGAAAGCCUGACAUCAAACUCAGCUCUUGUCAGAAGAAUAAAAGGGACUUUCUGAGUCCAA